AGUGAACGCUGGCGGUAGGCCUAACACAUGCAAGUCGAACGGCAGCACAGUAAGAGCUUGCUCUUACGGGUGGCGAGUGGCGGACGGGUGAGGAAUACAUCGGAAUCUACUUUUUCGUGGGGGAUAACGUAGGGAAACUUACGCUAAUACCGCAUACGACCUACGGGUGAAAGCAGGGGAUCUUCGGACCUUGCGCGAUUGAAUGCGCCGAUGUCGGAUUAGCUAGUUGGCGGGGUAAAGGCCCACCAAGGCGACGAUCCGUAGCUGGUCUGAGAGGAUGAUCAGCCACACUGGAACUGGGACACGGACCAGACUCCUACGGGAGGCAGCAGUGGGGAAUAUUGGACAAUGGGCGCAAGCCUGAUCCAGCCAUACCGCGUGGGUGAAGAAGGCCUUCGGGUUGUAAAGCCCUUUUGUUGGGAAAGAAAAGCAGCAGGUUAAUACCCCGCUGUUCUGACGGUACCCAAAGAAUAAGCACCGGCUAACUUCGUG
This 492-nucleotide ribosomal RNA is filed under the name uncultured bacterium. RNAcentral's name for it is "partial 16S ribosomal RNA". It matches the Rfam family "Bacterial small subunit ribosomal RNA", at positions 29 to 507 of the family's 1533-position model. The record is from RNAcentral.